RNAcentral lists this long non-coding RNA (339 nucleotides) under Elaeis guineensis (African oil palm). Its description in RNAcentral is "long non-coding RNA (EGUI_LNC055856)". The record is from RNAcentral. Lineage: Eukaryota; Viridiplantae; Streptophyta; Magnoliopsida; Arecales; Arecaceae.
AAUCAAAGUACAAUAAAUGUAAACUAAGAUAAAAAAAAUAUCUAUAGCACUAAUCUAAAUUUUUAUGAGAUGUCUAAGUGUCUGUCCUCCAAUGGUGAAUCACAUGAAAAUUAGACCAAAGAUAGUACUCCUCCUUCACCUUGCUUCAAGAGUUCUAGCCUCUAGAACUCAACUAGCCCUGUAUCGAUCAGGUUUCUCCAAAAACCUGACUCAACCCUCUUAGAACCUCCUCUAGAUUUUUGAUUCUCCUCUUUAGGACCCUCACAACCCUUGUUUAGAUCAGAUAAGGCUUUGUCUUAAAUCUCAAAGCCUUGUCCUAAAACAAAGAUGGUUGUCAGA